AGCUCAACUGUAGAACUGCCAUUGAUACUGGAAUCCUUGAGUGUGGUUGAAGUAGACGGAAUAUGUCAUGUAGCGGUGAAAUGCAUAGAUAUGACAUAGAACACCAAUUGCGUAGGCAGUUUACUAAACCAUUACUGACGCUCAUGGACGAAAGUGUGGGUAGCGAACAGGAUUAGAUACCCUGGUAGUCCACACCGUAAACUAUGAUCACUAGAUGUUGGCGAUAUACAGUCAGUGUCUUAGAGAAAUCGUUAAGUGAUCCACCUGGGGAGUACGUUCGCAAGAAUGAAACUCAAAGGAAUUGACGGGGGCCCGCACAAGCGGUGGAGCAUGUGGUUUAAUUCGAUGAUACGCGAGGAACCUUACCAAGGCUUAAAUGUAAAACGACCGGUUGAGAGAUCAACUUUUUUUCGAACGAUUUACAAGGUGCUGCAUGGUUGUCGUCAGCUCGUGCCGUGAGGUGUCGGGUUAAGUCCCAUAACGAGCGCAACCCCUAUUUCUAGUUGCCAGCGAGUAAUGUCGGGAACUCUAGAGAGACUGCCCGUGCAAACGGAGAGGAAGGUGGGGAUGACGUCAAAUCAUCACGGCCCUUAUGUCUUGGGCUACACACGUGCUACAAUGGUCAAUACAGUGGGAUGCCAUCUGGUGACAGAGAGCAAAUCCAUAAAGUUGAUCCCAGUUCGGAUCGGAGUCUGCAACUCGACUCUGUGAAGUUGGAAUCGCUAGUAAUCGCACAUCAGCCAUGGUGCGGUGAAUACGUUCCCGGGCCUUGUACACACCGCCCGUCAAGCCAUGGAAGUUUGGAGUGCCUGAAGUCAGUAACCGUAAGGAUCUGCCUAGGGUAAGACAAGUAACUAGGGCUAAGUCGUAACAAGGUAGCC
This 881-nucleotide ribosomal RNA is filed under the name uncultured bacterium. Its description in RNAcentral is "bacterial SSU rRNA". It matches the Rfam family "Bacterial small subunit ribosomal RNA", at positions 606 to 1501 of the family's 1533-position model. The record is from RNAcentral.